CCUACGGGAGGCUGCAGUGGGGGAUAUUGCACAAUGGGGGAAACCCUGAUGCAGCGACGCCGCGUGAGUGAAGAAGUACUUCGGUAUGUAAAGCUCUAUCAGCAGGGAGAAAAUGACGGUACCUGAGUAAGAAGCCCCGGCUAACUACGUGCCAGCAGGCGCGGUAAUACGGAGGGGGCAAGCGUUAGCCGGGUUUACUGGGUGUAAAGGGAGCGUAGACGGCAGUGCAAGUCUGAAGUGAAAGGCGGGCGCUCAACCCGCGGACUGCUCUGGAAACUGUACGUCUGGAGUGCAGUAGAGGUAAGUGGAAUUCCUAGUGUAGCGGUGAAAUGCGUAGAUAUUAGGAGGAACACCAGUGGCGAAGGCGGCUUACUGGACUGUAACUGACGUUGAGGCUCGAAAGCGUGGGGAGCAAACAGGAUUAGAUACCCGUGUAGUC
Molecule: ribosomal RNA, 439 nt
Filed under: uncultured bacterium
Lineage: Bacteria
Description: partial 16S ribosomal RNA
Rfam family: Bacterial small subunit ribosomal RNA
Source: RNAcentral